RNAcentral lists this transfer RNA (72 nucleotides) under Rhodotorula toruloides. RNAcentral describes it as "tRNA-Ala (AGC) cove score=48.55". It matches the Rfam family "tRNA". Rfam says of the family: Transfer RNA (tRNA) molecules are approximately 80 nucleotides in length. Their secondary structure includes four short double-helical elements and three loops (D, anti-codon, and T loops). Further hydrogen bonds mediate the characteristic L-shaped molecular structure. tRNAs have two regions of fundamental functional importance: the anti-codon, which is responsible for specific mRNA codon recognition, and the 3' end, to which the tRNAs corresponding amino acid is attached (by aminoacyl-tRNA synthetases). tRNAs cope with the degeneracy of the genetic code in two manners: having more than one tRNA (with a specific anti-codon) for a particular amino acid; and 'wobble' base-pairing, i.e. permitting non-standard base-pairing at the 3rd anti-codon position. RNAcentral also lists the same sequence under 2 other names. The record is from RNAcentral. Lineage: Eukaryota; Fungi; Basidiomycota; Microbotryomycetes; Sporidiobolales; Sporidiobolaceae.
GGGGAUCUAGCUCAUCGGUAGAGCGCUCGCUUAGCAUGCGAGAGGCGCAGGGUUCGACUCCCUGGUUCUCCA